GGCGGCAUGCCUAACACAUGCAAGUCGAACGAGACCUUCGGGUCUAGUGGCGCACGGGUGCGUAACGCGUGGGAAUCUGCCCUUUGCUACGGAAUAACUCGAGGAAACUCGUGCUAAUACCGUAUGAUGUCGCAAGACCAAAGAUUUAUCGGCAAAGGAUGAGCCCGCGUAGGAUUAGCUUGUUGGUGAGGUAAAGGCUCACCAAGGCGACGAUCCUUAGCUGGUCUGAGAGGAUGAUCAGCCACACUGGGACUGAGACACGGCCCAGACUCCUACGGGAGGCAGCAGUGGGGAAUAUUGGACAAUGGGCGAAAGCCUGAUCCAGCAAUGCCGCGUGAGUGAUGAANGCCUUAGGGUUGUNAAGCUCUUUUACCCGGGAAGAUAAUGACUGUUCCGGGGGAAUAAGCUCCGGCUAACUCCGUGCCAGCAGC
This 431-nucleotide ribosomal RNA is filed under the name uncultured Alphaproteobacteria bacterium. Its description in RNAcentral is "bacterial SSU rRNA". It matches the Rfam family "Bacterial small subunit ribosomal RNA", at positions 38 to 515 of the family's 1533-position model. Lineage: Bacteria; Pseudomonadati; Pseudomonadota; Alphaproteobacteria. The record is from RNAcentral.